GACGAACCGAGCGAACGUUGUUCGGAAUCACUGGGCUUAAAGGGCGCGUAGGCGGGCUGCCAAGUCCGUGGUGAAAUCCCCCGGCUCAACCGGGGAAGGGCCUCGGAUACUGGCGGCCUCGAGGGGGUAGGGGCGUGCGGAACUGUGGGUGGAGCGGUGAAAUGCGUUGAUAUCCACAGGAACUCCGGUGGCGAAGGCGGCACGCUGGACCCCAUCUGACGCUG
RNAcentral lists this ribosomal RNA (224 nucleotides) under uncultured bacterium. RNAcentral's name for it is "partial 16S ribosomal RNA". It matches the Rfam family "Bacterial small subunit ribosomal RNA", at positions 524 to 748 of the family's 1533-position model. The record is from RNAcentral.